GAUGAACGCUGGCGGCGUGCCUAACACAUGCAAGUCGAACGAAGCGGCUCAAAGUUUUCGGACAGAGAGUUGACUGAGUGGCGGACGGGUGAGUAACGCGUGGGUAACCUGCCUCAUACAGGGGGAUAACAGUUAGAAAUGACUGCUAAUACCGCAUAAGCGCACAGCAUCGCAUGAUGCAGUGUGAAAAAGCCGAGACGGUAUGAGAUGGACCCGCGUCUGAUUAGCUAGUUGGUGGGUAACGGCCCACCAAGGCGACGAUCAGUAGCCGACCUGAGAGGGUNACCGGCACGAUUGGGACUGAGACAC
Molecule: ribosomal RNA, 309 nt
Filed under: uncultured bacterium
Lineage: Bacteria
Description: bacterial SSU rRNA
Rfam family: Bacterial small subunit ribosomal RNA
Source: RNAcentral